ACGACUAUACUCGAACAGGAUCUGUUCUAUAGUUCGUACACCUUGUUGUCUCUCUCAAGAGUGACAAGUUUCUCAGCCCAGAAGAUGAAGGGAAGCCUCCAAGCCUGAGCGUGAAAGUUUCGGCGGCUGUGCCCGGCCUUAGAGCUGGGCGCGCCCCGAUUGAGGAACGUCCCCAGGCUUCAUUCCGCCGAGGGGAGGCUUGGAGGCCGUCUGAUGGGUC
RNAcentral lists this small nucleolar RNA (220 nucleotides) under Coccomyxa subellipsoidea C-169. RNAcentral's name for it is "Plant small nucleolar RNA U3". It matches the Rfam family "Plant small nucleolar RNA U3". From Rfam's summary of the family: Small nucleolar RNAs (snoRNAs) are involved in the processing and modification of rRNA in the nucleolus. There are two main classes of snoRNAs: the box C/D class, and the box H/ACA class. U3 snoRNA is a member of the box C/D class. Lineage: Eukaryota; Viridiplantae; Chlorophyta; Trebouxiophyceae; Coccomyxaceae. The record is from Rfam by way of RNAcentral.